UGGUGGAAUUGGUAGACACAAGGGAUUUAAAAUCCCUCGGCGUUCGCGCUGUGCCGGUUCAAGUCCGGCCCGGGGCACCA
RNAcentral lists this transfer RNA (80 nucleotides) under Vibrio parahaemolyticus. RNAcentral describes it as "tRNA-Leu". It matches the Rfam family "tRNA". Rfam says of the family: Transfer RNA (tRNA) molecules are approximately 80 nucleotides in length. Their secondary structure includes four short double-helical elements and three loops (D, anti-codon, and T loops). Lineage: Bacteria; Pseudomonadati; Pseudomonadota; Gammaproteobacteria; Vibrionales; Vibrionaceae. The record is from RNAcentral.